Molecule: ribosomal RNA, 253 nt
Filed under: uncultured bacterium
Lineage: Bacteria
Description: partial 16S ribosomal RNA
Rfam family: Bacterial small subunit ribosomal RNA
Source: RNAcentral
UACGGGGGGGGUAAGCGUUGUUCGGAAUUACUGGGCGUAAAGGGCUCGUAGGCGGCCAACUAAGUCAGACGUGAAAUCCCUCAGCUUAACUGGGGAACUGCGUCUGAUACUGGAUGGCUUGGAUCCGGGAGAGGGAUGCGGAAUUCCAGGUGUAGCGGUGAAAUGCGUAGAUAUCUGGAGGAACACCGGUGGCGAAGGCGGCAUCCUGGACCGGCAUUGACGCUGAGGCGCGAAAGCCAGGGGAGCAAACGGG